RNAcentral lists this non-coding RNA (31 nucleotides) under Mus musculus (house mouse). The record is from RNAcentral. Lineage: Eukaryota; Metazoa; Chordata; Mammalia; Rodentia; Muridae.
UAAACGUUAAUCCUGAGACUACCAUAUACUG